UUCAGAUAAGAUUACACUAUAAUCAUGAAUAAUGACUUUAAUAAUUAUUAAACAAUGAAAGUUUCAUUGAUACGGAGACAAAUUGGAAAGAAAUACAAGGAUCUCGUCUAAAUCUUGGUAAUGGAAAGUAUUAUUCGAUACUGCUGCCACCAACUUGAGAUUAUCCUGAAUAACACCUUUUUGGACUACGUCGUUAGCCUUCCACGAAUGGAUACGAAAGUCUUUGCUUCGCGUAAACUUCAAGAAAUCUAUAACCAAGCCAGGGCUUUGCCAAGGUCACUUUGCAAUAACUAACUCCGUAUCUUUGAAAGAUAUUCCCACUAUUAGGAAUUUCUUCAGCGUCCCCAACUAACAGUUUAGAGCAGAGACCAGAAAGCAGAAGCGAAGAAAGGAAUAUGUUAGUUAAAGUAAGAUUUUGCAAUCUAUGAAAACGAAAUACAAGGCGUAUGUUGCCAGUUCGGAAUUGACAAUGUUUUCCAUGUGACAUCAUGAAGUUCUAUUGGAUUAUGGUUAUGACAACAUCCUUGGCCAAGAGAACGCCAUAUCAACGAGUAGGAAAACAAUUGAGUGGAAUUUGGAAUCCAAUUAUCGAAUUAGAAAUAUGUACAACACUAUCAUCUGUUGAGACGCUCAAAUAAGAUCAAUGCACGUCAACUCCGAUCGGUACCAUUGACUCUUAUUACAAAAAUCUAUAAUAUUUUACUGCAUGUGUUCAUUAGGAUAUGGUAUUUAUUAUCACCAUCUUCAUCCAAAGAUGAAAUCGAUCUUUUUUGAAAAAAAAAAGCAAACACUCUAAGCGGUUUCAGACCGAUCACUGUAUUAUUGAUCAUAAUAAGAAGCCUGCUUCGCAAAUUCCUGCUUCGCGACUAACAGCAAGCUGUCGCAGAUUAUAACUGAUGAAAUACGCCUUUUAUUCAUUGCGAGAAGCUCGACAAGGAUAUUCAAAGUUAUUUUCUUUCUUCAAUUUUAUGCACCAUUUGCUCCAGCAAUUUCCAGAAGAUAUUGGCACAAGGGUCGGCGAUCAAACUAUUAACGACAUUGCUUUCGUCUGUUCACCUCGAUUAAAAACGGUGGCUCAAGCCACAACAUACUUACAUCAAUGCGGACUUGAAAUCGACCCAGUUAAAAGGCACACUAUAGGAAUUAUGGUCUACUCUAAAUUAUGGUAUAAGAAAAAGAAGAAAACCGCCAUAUCUACAUUGAUCGCCAAUCAAUACCAAGUUUACAUUUAGAUUGUUCCCAACUGUCAGCUAGGAGGAAAAGUAGAUAUACCUUGGCGACAGGAAAAAUAAACAGAAACCAAGAUUCAUCAUGGAAUGAAGCAUUAGUUCUGAAGCCUCAACAAAAACUGCUGUGGUACACAAUCGUUUUUCAACUUUACCACCAGUUUACUCUGGAGAAUAUGAUCAUCAGCGAACUGAAUAAGCUCAGUCAAGCGCAAAGACUUUUUCUUCUAUCAACGUAUGUUCUAUCAACAUACUUCCACAUUGCCGUAGAGGAUCGUAGAC
Molecule: long non-coding RNA, 1508 nt
Organism: Vespula pensylvanica (western yellowjacket)
Lineage: Eukaryota; Metazoa; Arthropoda; Insecta; Hymenoptera; Vespidae
Exons: 2
Source: RefSeq, a predicted model, not a curated record